AUGAAACAAGGGAGGGAGAGAGAGAGAGAAAAAAAAAAGCAGCCAACCCGACAUCCAACCAGCCGCCGCUCAUCCUCCAUUCUCUCUAUCCCAGACCCAGAAGCCCAAACCAACCACACUCACCAUCGACCUCGCCGCCGACUCCGCGCUCCACCUCCGCCGCGUCCGCCGCCGUUCUCGCCGGCGACCCAGCCCCAGCUCAAACCAGCGGCGCUCACCCGCUCUUCCUCUGUGCCGAAUCGAUUCCCUCAUCCCCCGCAAAGAAGAAGAAGAAUUGAUUCCCUCACCCAACCAGCCACCGCCCCCACCGGCGACCUCGCCGCCGGCUCUUCCCUCUUCCCCACCGUCGCUGGCCUGCACCCUCUCCUGUACCAUAGGCCCGAGACGGAGCUGUUGCGGCCGGAUCCGACACGGCCGCAGCCGUCGUCAAGGGAUUCAAGCGUGGGGAGAGGAGCCUCCAUGUGCCCGUGCGGCGGCCCCUUGGUUCCCUAUUCUCCUCUCUGUGCCGCCGAGAGAGGAGCUCUUCGAGGAUCCCCUCGCUCUUCUCCACGGCGCUGCUUCCGGAUCCGCCAAGGAGGUUCUCGAUCUGGUUAUGCUCGGGCGACGCCGCCGCCGGAGAUGGCCGAGCUCGCGCACCGGGAGAGAAGAGUGACGCUGUCAUGCGGUUCCUCGCGUGGAGAUGGCUUGUUGUUCCGUGCCGACGCCAUGGAUGGAGCUCGUCAAGGUCACCUCCCACCUCUUCUUCUCUUGUUCGCACACGAACACGUCACCGUGUACCUCCGACGCCGAGGGUGA
This 795-nucleotide ribosomal RNA is filed under the name Triticum aestivum (bread wheat). RNAcentral describes it as "partial small subunit ribosomal RNA". Lineage: Eukaryota; Viridiplantae; Streptophyta; Magnoliopsida; Poales; Poaceae. The record is from RNAcentral.